GAUGAAGAACGCAGCGAACGUGCGAAACGUAAUGUGAAUUGCAGAAUUCAGUGAAUCAUCGAAUCUUUGAACGCAUCUUGCGCUCCUUGGUAUUCCGAGGAGCAUGCCUGUUUGAGUGUCGUGAAAUACUCUCAAUUUCAAUCUUUUUGUUUGAAAUUGGAUUUGGAUGUUGUUGUGGAUCUUGCUACGACUCAUCCUAAAUGCAUUAGCGAUCUGCCUUGAUCACACACAAUGUGAUAAGAUGAGCAUUGUUAUAAUCAAGUCAUGACUGCUUCUAACCGUCCCUUUGGGACAAACGUCUUAUGUCGUUUGACCUCAAAUCAGGUAGGACUACCCGCUGAACUUAAGCAUAUCAAUAAGCGGAGGA
RNAcentral lists this unclassified non-coding RNA (367 nucleotides) under soil metagenome. RNAcentral's name for it is "partial contains 5.8S ribosomal RNA, internal transcribed spacer 2, and large subunit ribosomal RNA". The stretch from base 1 to 121 matches the Rfam family "5.8S ribosomal RNA", at positions 35 to 154 of the family's 154-position model. The record is from RNAcentral.